This 962-nucleotide ribosomal RNA is filed under the name uncultured Alphaproteobacteria bacterium. Its description in RNAcentral is "bacterial SSU rRNA". It matches the Rfam family "Bacterial small subunit ribosomal RNA", at positions 8 to 1016 of the family's 1533-position model. Lineage: Bacteria; Pseudomonadati; Pseudomonadota; Alphaproteobacteria. The record is from RNAcentral.
AGAGUUUGAUCAUGGCUCAGAACGUACGCUGGCGGCACGCCUAACACAUGCAAGUCGAACGCAGUAGCAAUACUGAGUGGCAGACGGGUGAGUAACAUGUGGGAAUCUGCCUUGUGGUUCAGGACAACAUUGGGAAACCGAUGCUAAUACUGGAUAAGCCCUUACGGGGAAAGUUUUAAUGCCAUAAGAUGAGCCCGCAUUUGAUUAGUUAGUUGGUGAGGUAAUGGCUCACCAAGACAAUGAUCAAUAGCUGAUCUGAGAGGAUGAUCAGCCACACUGGGACUGAGACACGGCCCAGACUCCUACGGGAGGCAGCAGUGGGGAAUCUUGCACAAUGGAGGAAACUCUGAUGCAGCGAUGCCGCGUGAGUGAAGAAGGCCUUUGGGUUGUAAAGCUCUUUUGUAGGGGAAGAUAAUGACUGUACCCUAAGAAUAAGGUCCGGCUAACUUCGUGCCAGCAGCCGCGGUAAUACGAAGGGACCUAGCGUAGUUCGGAAUUACUGGGCGUAAAGCGCGCGUAGGCCGUUGAGUUAGUUAAUUGUGAAAUCCCAAAGCUUAACUUUGGAACUGCAAUUAAAACUGCUCGACUAGAGUUUGAUAGAGGAAAGCGGAAUACAUAGUGUAGAGGUGAAAUUCGUAGAUAUUAUGUAGAACACCAGUUGCGAAGGCGGCUUUCUGGAUCAACACUGACGCUGAGGCGCGAAAGUAUGGGUAGCAAAGAGGAUUAGAUACCCUCGUAGUCCAUACCAUAAACGAUGAUUGCUAGAUGUUGGAAAUUUAUUUUCAGUAUCGCAGCUAACGCAUUAAGCAAUCCGCCUGGGGAGUACGACCGCAAGGUUAAAAACUCAAAUGAAUUGACGGGGACCCGCACAAGCGGUGGAGCAUGUGGUUUAAUUCGAAGAUACGCGCAGAACCUUACCAACCCUUGACAUGUCUGUCGCGAGUUUAGGAAACUAGACUUUU